Molecule: long non-coding RNA, 6471 nt
Organism: Pseudopipra pipra
Lineage: Eukaryota; Metazoa; Chordata; Aves; Passeriformes; Pipridae
Exons: 2
Source: RefSeq, a predicted model, not a curated record
ACAAGGCACUGGAUAAGAACCCAGAAAUGAUCACAAGUCAGGAAGUAUUUCUCUUGCAUGUCCAUCAUUCUUUGGGUAAAAACCUGUUUCAUUCCCAAAUCUCUGAUAAUGCUGCUAAUGAUUAGGUAUUCUCAAUCCAGUAUCUUUUCUCAGCUAGUUCUGGGCUAUCUGAUUAUCUCAUUUAAAGGAUUAUGUAUUAUUUUGGCCAAUGGAAUUUGCUCAUAUCCUUUCCUCCACUUAGACUUGUCUUUUCCUGAAAGCCCUUGAGCUGUAAAACCACACAUCAUUUCAACAUCUGAAAUCCUUUGUCUGGUAAUGUUGUACCAUUUUAGUGCCCAGUUGUGCCCUGCAUAACUAAUCAUGAGGAAAGGGAUGUGAACUCUGUACUGAAGAGAUUCCUAAAAAGAAGAACUACUGGGAGGAGCAAAAAGCCAGCACUUAGAGUUUUCUUCCUGCCUGUGCCAGAUACCAUCUGUUAUCUUUAGGAGGUCGGGGACUGUGCUUUCCCUGUGAGCAGCAUGGAGGUGAUGGCUGGAGAGAGGGAGCUGUGCUGCUGAAAUGAGCAGCAGCCUUUAACUGAACACUCCACACAGAAAUUAGGAACAAUAUUACAGCAUCUGGUGUGUGUAACGGGAGAAUAAACCAGCUGUGCUAGGUGAAAUAUGGAGUACGUCAAAUUAUUACAACAAACUUUAUAAACAUUACUGUUAGUCUGACUGCAAUCAUUUUUUUAAUAGCAGGAGAAGACAGAGAGAGAAAGGAGCUCUGCACAUCAAAUGCUGUGAAAAAGAAUGAUACUACUGUAAAGAGCACGAGAGCCAGCACCCAAUUAGAGCAGACAGAAACUGGCUGCAAACAAGAAGGAAACUGGAGCAGCAAUUCCAGAAUGAGAAGGAUAGUUCUCAUCUCAAGAUCUGCCAUGGUAGCAAGAGGCCACAAAGCAUUAAAGAGAUAUAUUUUGCAAUUUUUUGCAAAAUGAAAGUUACAUUUCAUUGGCUUUUUAUGGUAUUUUGAGCCCAAUCAAUAAGCUUUACGACCUGCAUCCUCUGUUGGCUCAUUGAAGCUAACUGGGCUAUCAGCUUUCUGUCUUGGUGCACUAUAGAUGGGCAAUCACACUUUAUUUAAUGACUGAAAUGGACAUCUUUGGUGAUACAGGAUUCUUCAAUGAGAUAUGUAAUUGUUCCCAGCUUAUGCAGCUUUUAUUGAAUUAUUAUUGAAAACAUAAUUUCAUGCUUGGUUAAGUCAUAAAUUUAAUUCAUUUCGCUGGCAAGAUACAGUAACAAAUAUGACACUACCAGUAUUGCUUGGAGGAAAGGAGAGGAGGUUCUGUGUAGCCAACGAGUAUAAAUUAGCUGAGCACUCAUUGGUUAACUUUUGAGCAUUUUCUGCUCGUGGAUUUAAAAGUGCAGGAGAAACUUGUCCAUGUCCAGUAGAUCAGUUUUGACAGAAAGCUGGCACUUGGUUGUAACGUAUAGAUUGAGUCUCGUGGGCACAUUGCAAUCCCAGUUAGUUGGAUAAAAUGGAAUUGCACUGGCUCUGCUUUUUGGUGGCUUCAGGACACAGAUGAGUCAUUGACUAGGCAAAGGUCUUGUGUCUGCUUUUCUUAACCACAUUAAUUAAUUAAUUAAUUAUGUCAUUAACCACAACUGAAAGUUUAACAUCUCAGCUGUGUGUGCAUCUGUGGGGCACUCUCACAAGUGCCUGCAAAAGGCAGGGGAAAAAGGUAAGAACUCCCUUUUGUUAAAAUGAACUCAGUGAGACUUGUCUGAACGGGGACUGUGUGCAAGGUACACCCUCUUUUUCCUUUUUAGCCCCAAAUCCAUGAGAGACUGGGCUGGCUGAAGCCCUGGAUUUCUUUAGGCAGGACUGACUGCUUGGAGCAGGAGGCUGGACUGGAAAGCUCCAGAAAGCUCUGUCAGCCAGCACGGCCUCGACUCUGUCUUUAAUCCUGACUUCUCUCCAGAAACAUUAACUGCUUAACUCUGCUUUAACACAGGCAUCUGUGAACAGCCUGAGGAAAUGCCUGCUUUUCUUGGAUUUGAUUUUAAAGUCCAAGUCCCUCCAUUUAGGUGAAGAACCAGAAUCAGACACUGAUAUUUAUGCUGCAUCCUUAAAAGUAAGUAACACAUUAAAAUGAUUAGACCUUUUAUGCCACAGUUGCCCAAAUUAUGUUUUCUCAAGGAGCCCUACCUACCUACAGAAUAUUUCAUCAUUUUUCUGCAAAGAAUCUGUGGUGAUAUUUUUGCUUUAACUAACAAGGUUUUCCUUUCUCAAUUUCUGCUCUGACUGUACACGGGGAAUUUUUUUCUGGCCUGUUGCUGUUUGCAAGCAAGUUUUAAUUCAGAACUUUUGGAGGCUCUUUUGUAUGGCUUUGAGUUUCUUCACAACCUUUUGAAGCUGAGGAUGCAACACACCUCACUGGCCUAAUCUUUUAUUAACCACAUUUUGCUUAUUGUACUUUACCAUAGAAUCUUGUUGCAUUCAAUGAAGUGGCUUUUGGCAAUCAAAGGAAACUAUUUGAAGGGGUUAUCAAACAAUCUUUGUUCUAGCUGAGAAAUUAGUAGAUAUGUUAAGUAGUAUAAAUACUGCUAGGGAGUAAAAAACCUUGAUUUUUGCCAAACAGUUGAAACAGGAAAUAGCUUAAUGCAUAAAAAAAACCCAGCAUAACACAGUGAAGCUAUAUCUUUUAAUUAUUAAAUCUAUGUUUCUACAGUAGAACUCACCAAAUGUGGGCUUGAGAAAUCACUGGAAGUUAAAAAAUUAUUACCGAGUCAAACACCAUAAUUUAAUGAAUUAGCCUGGUUGAAAAAUAAGGUAGGUGCUAGAAUUUUCCUGGCAUGGAAAAGCCACACAACGGCCAAAGUUCUAACUGAAAGGAAAAUAAUUUUUUUUAAAAAACCACUCAGGGAGUAGUAAAUUCAUAAUUUGUACUGAGUAGGAAUUGGCAACCACCUUGUCAAUAGCUAUAAAACGCCUUAUGUGCAGAAAUAUUUCAGGACAUCAAAGACAAAGAAAUGUGUUUGGCCCCGUGCCUUUGCAUUCAGUAUACAAUUUAUGGCAGCUUUAUUUUUCCAUUUUUUUCGUAAGCUUUUCUUCCCCAUCUUCUCUCUAACAAAGGGCGACACAGAAGACAAGAAGAGCAGCAAGACUGGACUUUUUAUGCAAUAGGGAGAUGUGUCAGUACCAUUGCUUUGUUUGAUGUUUUACUGGACACCUUUCUGUGCCUCUGUUCUCUAACUCAGCAGCAGCCCAGAAGCUGCCUGCCUUGAUAUUAUGAUGUAGUUGACCAAAGGAAAAAUACCUGCAAAAUAACUUUAAAGAUAUUUGCAUUGAAUUCCAACAUCUUUCUAUCUCUGCCUGUUGCAGGAAGAAAAACUACUCUUUUAUUCUAAAAAGGCAUGAUUACUUGCUCCUGGUCUUGCUAUGCUUUUAGAAAAGGUUCUUUACAAGUGCAGGUAGUCCUUCUCUAUUGCUAAAGGAAGUGCUCUAUACCACAAUAUCUCAUUUAAAUACUUUCUCGGUGUUGUGCACUUUUUGUUAUGUUUGCAGCUGUUUUAAAGCACCUCAGCUGAAGCCUUCAGAAGGCAAAUACACACAAAUGUCCUUUAUGAGCCUUUCUGGCUUUGUCUCUCCCGAUCCCUGGUAAUUUUCUUUGAAUGCAUACAUCUUCCUUUUCCAGCUCACAAGAUUGCCAGCGUGGCUCUCAGCAAACAAGGGUGAGUUUUAAAGGAUCGGUGGAGUGCCUGUGAAAUCAUUGCCCUGCAUUAUUAUGGCUUAUCUUUCUACUUUCAUGGUCUAUAGUCCUCAUAUGGAUUUAUUUCAUCUGUGCUUGCACACAGCCUUGUACCCGGGCCUGCUUAGACUCACCAUAAAGCCUCAUACUUAAAGGAUAAUGGUCAUGAUGGGGGAAGUAUACAAGGCAAUAAACAGCUUUUGCAGGUGAUUAAACACGCUGAAGCAAAGCUGAGGCAUUUGAAAAACCCCAAAAGCUGUUUACUGUAAGCUCGGCAACACGUCAGCUGUGUUCAACAAGCCACAACAUUAAAUAAAAGCUUUUGCCUUGUCUUGGAAGGACUGGGAAGUUUUGUUCACCAAAUAGAUGUUUCCUUCUCCUUUUUAAUAGCGUGGGUGGCUUUCUUUGUGUCACAUACGGUUUAACAGGAGAUAAGUUCCGGAGUAAUUGCUUGGGAUAAAAGCAGCAAAAUGUCUUUCUUCACAUUGCUAUGGAGGUUCUUGAUGAUAGUCCUUUCCUCCUCUUCCCACCCCACAAGAAUCCCCCUUUAUUCCCAACUCCUUUCUUUGCUCCUGCUACUACUUCCUUUGUGUGUUUCAUGAUUUCAUUUCUUGGUUGGGUUUUUGAUUUGGGUUGGUUUUUUUUUUCUUCUCUUCAUUUCAGUGGUAUCUUCACCUCCACUCUCCCCAGCACUUCAAAGUUUUCCUAACAAGAAUGCCUGAGGCUGGAACAUUUAGCUGCUUGAAGGAGGAGGACAGACGCAGGAAUCUUAUGAGUCACAACACUUUCAGUGCUGGGGAAUCUCUGUUACACAAAUAGCACUGCUUUUGUAAUGAUGAGUUGUCUAAAACCAAACAGCCUUUUUUAGCAACAAUAAUUUACUAAACCAUAUGAUCUUGAAGAGUAUUUUUCUUUAAAACUUAACGCAACUUUUUCUUUAUUUUUCUUUAUUCCAACUUGCGCUGAUUUCUGUGGGGCUUCCUAUCAAAUGCAGUGAAUAAAACUGCACUUACUAUUUUCCAGCCCCAACUUACUGGCACUUAUAAUAGUUGUUAGAUACCACCAUGGCUAUUUGUGCAAGUCAGACACUUAAGUGAUACUAUAGUUAACUGCUGGCACAAACUGUAUGACAGAGAAAUAAGUCAGAGGCCAAUAACCCUCACAGAAGACUGUAAUUUCCUGUGAAUAUCAAUGGCAGGAAACUUACAGUCUAAAGGAAAGAAUAUUUAGUAUUUUGCAGUGGUUCACAAAGACGUUUUUGCUGUUUAUUGCUGAGAAUUACGGCAUAGUCUUUCUCAUUUAUAAAUUAGACCUUGAGGCAGUAUCUUCUGUGAAAGCAAAAUAUGAAAGGAGUAAUGGAAGUCUGGUAACUAGCUGAGCUUGAAGCUGUAUGCUGUAAAACAGAAUUCCUAGAUAAAGUGAUCGUCAGGAAAAGGUUGGCAGUUCCAGGUAGUGGUUGGUUCUUUCGUUUUGUCCUUCAGUCAUUUCUACAAGAGCAGUGUGUUUGAGGAAAAUGAAAAUGUACUCAUUUAUACACAAAAAAACCCCAUUAGCAUUGUAUAAAAAAAACCCUGUGUACAUUACAUCCUUGUCUCAGAUAAAUACAAAUCCAGUAUAAUUCUGGAUUUGCACCAGUAUUACUGAAACACAAAUCUAUCCUUGAAUAUCUUUAUCCAUUGUGCCCUGUUAAGUUUAUCUAGGGCAAAUCCUGAACCACUGAAAUUAAGGCUAAAGAGGGAGAAGUGGCAUUCCUUGGCCCCACAGAGGGGUGACCAGAGUGUUCAUGUCAAGGCAGCUCCUUGGGAAAUGCCUGCAGAUGUGUGCACUGGUCUGUGCUGACUCCUUGGGAAGGCAGACUUGGAGCAGACACUGGUGUCAUAAGGAAAGACACACACAGGAAAAAUGUGUUUCAUCUGCGGUGGCUGGAAUACACCCCGAGGUAACUGCUCAUCCCUGGGUUGUGCUGCACCAUCCAGGGAAACAUUCCCUUGUGUCUGCACAGGGCAGAAAGGGUGAAGUGCAGAGAUGUCAGUUCCUGAAUAAGGAAAUGUGUAACUGACUGUUUGUGUGGAUUUUCUGUCUUCCCAGGAAAUCCUCAGGUGUCAUUUGAAGACGCUCCGAGGAUUUCAAGUGUCACAUUUACAGCAGGAAUUAAGGCCAGUGAUAGUGAACAUAUUGAAUGAGUUGUUUGUUCCCAUUUCAGGUUAGGAAAGAAGCUCUCAGAGGCUGAUUUGGAUUGUUUCUCACAAAGGUUAAUCCUCAAACUCUGUUCUCCAUUUACUGUUGUCUUGUAAUGAUGAAGUAAACAUAUCAGGUAGCUUUUGCCAUCUAUUGUAUACUUUCAGAUAUACUCAGAAUAAUAAAGAGAGCAGAUUUGAAGAGAUAGAGUAGGAUGUUUAUUUUUCUAAUUUUUAAGUCAUUUUGAGUUAACCAAGACUGGUUUUGUAAACACGUUUUCCCUUUUUUUCUUUUUUUUUCAAAGUUGUUACAUUUUUCAUGCAUGAAUUUGACCUAUGGAUUAUAUAAAACUAAAAGAAUCCUUUUCUAAUGGACAGUCAGUAAAGCCAGAUGCUUUUAGUGGGAAUUCUUGGGUUGAAAGAUAUUUGGUGGGGCUUUUUCCCCCUAUUGCAUUUUCCACCAAAGUGUUUCUUGCUCAUUUUAUUUAAAAACAUAAAUUCUAUUAUUUUCUGUACUCUAGGGAUGAAUAUCACAGUAAAGACUAUUUGAGGAGAAACAAA